GGCAGUAAGAAGGAUUUCUUCACGGGCAGGGUGGUUUGGCAUUGGAAUGGGCUGCCCGGGGCGGCGGUGGAGUCACUGCCCACAGAGGUGUUUCAGGGAAGACUGGAGGUUUCACUCGGUGCCCCGGUCUGACUGACCCGGUGCUCGGUCAUAGGCUGGACACGAUGAUCCCAGAGGACUUUUCCAGCCUAAUCGGUUCUGUGAUUCUGUUAAGUAUUUCUGAUUUGUGGAGUGUACCGUGAGUUAAAGCAUCUCCACCCAUGGCAUUCCACCCCAGGUUCAUGGCCACGUUCAGGUCUGGGGAGGUGCCGGGGCCCUGGGAAGCGCGCAGGUGCCAGAGGGCAGGCAUUGCUCCUCAGCUGGGCUCUGAUUUCUGUCUUGGCCGACUAUUUUCCCUGUUUUUUCCUGCAGACACUUCCCAGCAGUGCUUGGUCUUCCGUGUGCACUGUGGUGACACCCAGUUAUGGUGGAAACCCCGGUGACCCUGCCUGCCAUAAAUACCUCCCAGCUCCCAGCAGGCAAAUCACCACCCUGGUUUUUGCUUUCUCUUUGGUCUUUAAAUCAGCUCUGUAUGGCCUUGCGAUACGUGCUUGUGUAUAAAAUCGUACGUAACGCAUCCCCGAAUCCUCACACCCACGUGGAGUCAAACUGCAGGCCAGUCAAACAGAGCAGUGCCCUGUUGCCAUGAGGACAGGGAUGUGGGGAUUGGCAGGGUGCUGCUGAAUUCCAGUCUCAAAAGGCGGAUGGGUGCAGCCUUGCCUGGGAUGGGCAGGGUGGUCUUCAUCCCUCCUGGCUGAAGCUCCAUCCACUUCAUUUAUUGCCAAUGAACUGAUUUGUUUGAGCUGAGAAGGGUCAACAGAUAAAGGAAAUCUGUGUGUUUAUGGGGAAAAGACAGUGCAGAUGCCAAGAAAAUAUGGCUGGGAGGCAACUGGAAAGCCAAGGGACAGUGAGUGACUGGCAGCAGUCAGAGGCCACCUCUGGGCCCCCUUGGGUGGGGCACGGUUGCACCUGAGCCCUUCCGGCUCCUGUUUGUCCAGCGAGUGCAGCAGCUGCCCGGCACAUUCCCGGCUGCUCCGGAGCUUUGUUUCCUGACCAACACCCGUUUGCAGUAUUUCCCAAACAAGCGGAGGCUCAUCACCAUCGCUCCCACUCCCUCUUCCCCGUCCAAUUGUCCCUGCGGGCUGGGGAGCAGCCGAGUUCAAACAAUCCGUGCUCGGGCAUCGGCCGGGCAGGACGUGAAGCAUUAACGAGUUUAAUAGCAGCAAACAGAUAAAAGGUUUCAAAGGGCAUCAUUAAAAAAUAUCCCUGUGGCACAGGUCUGUGGUACCCCAGGGCUUCAACAUGAGGUGCAGAAAGCUGUGACUGCCUUCUUCUGAAAUCCUUCCCAAUUGUUAAAAAAAUUAUAAAAAUCCACAUUUAAUUUCAUUUUCGUUUAGUUUAGUUUAAGAAACAGGGUUCUCCCUGCCUAUGCUGUGCUCACACAGCCAUUGUUCAACUCCACAUGGUUCAA
Long non-coding RNA from Onychostruthus taczanowskii (white-rumped snowfinch), 1510 nucleotides. RefSeq lists it as uncharacterized. The transcript has 3 exons. NCBI's taxonomy places the organism in Eukaryota, Metazoa, Chordata, Aves, Passeriformes, Passeridae. The record is from RefSeq and is a predicted model, not a curated record.